Molecule: transfer RNA, 64 nt
Filed under: Rhodnius pictipes
Lineage: Eukaryota; Metazoa; Arthropoda; Insecta; Hemiptera; Reduviidae
Also listed under: 1 other name
Description: tRNA-Thr
Source: RNAcentral
GUUUUAAUAGUUUAAAAAAAAUAAUGAUCUUGUAAAUCAUAGAUAGAAAAUAAUCUUUAAAACU